AGGCUAGUUGGUGGGGUAAGGGCCUACCAAGGCGACGAUCGGUAGCUGGUCUGAGAGGAUGACCAGCCACACUGGAACUGAGACACGGUCCAGACUCCUACGGGAGGCAGCAGUGGGGAAUAUUGGACAAUGGGGGCAACCCUGAUCCAGCAAUGCCGCGUGUGUGAAGAAGGCCUGAGGGUUGUAAAGCACUUUCAGUGGGGAGGAGGGUUGAUAGGCUAAGAGCUAAUUAACUGGACGUUACCCACAGAAGAAGCACCGGCNAACUCCGUGCCAGCAGCCGCGGUAAUACGGAGGGUGCGAGCGUUAAUCGGAAUUACUGGGCGUAAAGGGUGCGUAGGUGGUUGAUUAAGUUAUCUGUGAAAUUCCUGGGCUUAACCUGGGACGGUCAGAUAAUACUGGUUGACUCGAGUAUGGGAGAGGGUAGUGGAAUUUCCGGUGUAGCGGUGAAAUGCGUAGAGAUCGGAAGGAACACCAGUGGCGAAGGCGGCUACCUGGCCUAAUACUGACACUGAGGCACGAAAGCGUGGGGAGCAAACAGGAUUAGAUACCCUGGUAGUCCACGCUGUAAACGAUGUCAACUAGCUGUUGGUUAUAUGAAAAUAAUUAGUGGCGC
This 616-nucleotide ribosomal RNA is filed under the name uncultured Legionella sp. Its description in RNAcentral is "bacterial SSU rRNA". It matches the Rfam family "Bacterial small subunit ribosomal RNA", at positions 242 to 849 of the family's 1533-position model. The record is from RNAcentral. Lineage: Bacteria; Pseudomonadati; Pseudomonadota; Gammaproteobacteria; Legionellales; Legionellaceae.